GUGUCAGCAGCCGCGGUAAUACGAAGGGUGCAAGCGUUACUCGGAAUUACUGGGCGUAAAGCGUGCGUAGGUGAUUCGUUAAGUCUGAUGUGAAAGCCCUGGGCUCAACCUGGGAAUUGCAUUGGAAACUGGCGGGCUAGAGUACGGUAGAGGGUAGUGGAAUUCCUGGUGUAGCAGUGAAAUGCGUAGAGAUCAGGAGGAACAUCCGUGGCGAAGGCGACUACCUGGACCAGUACUGACACUGAGGCACGAAAGCGUGGGGAGCGAACAGGAUUAGAAACCCCAGUAGUCC
Molecule: ribosomal RNA, 292 nt
Filed under: uncultured prokaryote
Description: partial 16S ribosomal RNA
Rfam family: Bacterial small subunit ribosomal RNA
Source: RNAcentral